Molecule: unclassified non-coding RNA, 682 nt
Filed under: Hevea brasiliensis (rubber tree)
Lineage: Eukaryota; Viridiplantae; Streptophyta; Magnoliopsida; Malpighiales; Euphorbiaceae
Source: RNAcentral
UGAUUGCAGGUUAUGUUGAGAAUUCUAGAGCUGUGGAAGGUGUGAAGCUUUUUAUAACAAUUGUGGUGUUUGGCAUCUGGCCAAAUCUAUCAACCUUGAGUAGUCUUUUGUUAGGAUUCAGUAAAUUGUCUGCUUUGCAGAUUAGGAAGACAAGUUCAUCAGCUAGUAUGUAAUACGACAGCUGGUACAUGGUACAUGGUUAGUUAUCAUUUAUUCUAAGUGUGGAGAUUUGGAGAAUGCUUUGAAAUUGUUUCUUGAGAUUCCAAGGAGGGAUAUAGUCACUUGGAAUGCGAUGGUUUGUGGUUAUGCUCCACAUGGAGCAAGUGAUAAAGCUCUAAGUUUGUUUGAUGAGAUGAAAAAUGAAGGAAUUAAGCCAUAUUGGAUUACAUUUGUUGCAUUAUUAUUGGCUUGCAACAGUGCGGGUUCUGUAGAUCUUAGGGUUAAAUAUUAUCAUUCUAUGGUGAGUGAUCAUGGAGUUUAAACCAAGCUGGAGUACUAAGCGUGUAUGGUUGACCUUGGUCGAUCUGGGAAGUUGGAUGAAGCUGUAGAUUUAAUAAAGAAAACGUCCUUCCAACCCACGUGUUGCUAUAUUUGGAACUUUUUUGGGUACAUGCUUGUAAACUCAAAAAAGGAAUCCUUUGCCAAUCUAUGAGAUGGCUUUAGAAAUCUUAAAAAAAGGAAA